RNAcentral lists this long non-coding RNA (463 nucleotides) under Cyanoderma ruficeps (rufous-capped babbler). RNAcentral's name for it is "lncRNA (ENSCRFG00000005907.1)". The record is from RNAcentral. Lineage: Eukaryota; Metazoa; Chordata; Aves; Passeriformes; Timaliidae.
GCGCAGCCCCGCGCCAGCUGCCGCCGCCGCCCCGCCCGCCCGCCGCGCACGGCACAGGCUCGCCCCGCCGGCGCGAUGGCCACCUGAUCGCCACCUAAUCGUCGCCGCCGCCGCAACUUUUCCUCCCUGCGCCGCGCCGCUGCUUCCCCCGUCGCUCCGGUGGAAGAUGGCAGUUGGGGGAAGCGCUAGAAGUUGCAGCCCGCGAGCGAAGAGAUAAGGCGGAGGAGCGGGAAGAUUCACCUCACUUCUGGAAGAAUCUCAAAAUCUGAACAACUUCUGCCACAGUUUGCUUUACUCUCUAACAAGAUACCAUUCUAUUAAGAACAAUGAGCUCCACAACACCAGAUGGGGUUUCUGGACGUGAACAGCUCUUGGCUCAGCAAAGAAUGCACAGUAUGAUCAGCUCAGCCUCAAGAAAACCUCAUGGCUGCAGUGUCGCUGUUAAUUUACAUUUACAUUUCAU